This 50-nucleotide transfer RNA is filed under the name Eugenia sulcata. RNAcentral describes it as "partial tRNA-His". The record is from RNAcentral. Lineage: Eukaryota; Viridiplantae; Streptophyta; Magnoliopsida; Myrtales; Myrtaceae.
CGGAUGUAGCCAAGUGGAUCAAGGCAGUGGAUUUGUGAAUCCCCCAUGCG